RNAcentral lists this ribosomal RNA (395 nucleotides) under uncultured bacterium. RNAcentral's name for it is "partial 16S ribosomal RNA". It matches the Rfam family "Bacterial small subunit ribosomal RNA", at positions 338 to 730 of the family's 1533-position model. The record is from RNAcentral.
CCUACGGGUGGCAGCAGUGAGGAAUAUUGGUCAAUGGGCGCAAGCCUGAACCAGCCAAGUAGCGUGAGGGAUGACUGCCCUACGGGUUGUAAACUUCUUUUAUCGAGGAAUAAAGUUAGGCACGUGUGCCUUUAGGUAUGUACUUUAUGAAUAAGGCACCGCUAACUCCGUGCCAGCAGCCGCGGUAAUACGGGGGAUUCGAGCCUUAUCCGGCAUUAUUGGGUUUAAAGGGAGCGUAGAGGGGUUGUUAAGGCAGGUGGUAAAGUUUGAGGCUCAACCGGAAAAUUGCAAUUGAUACUGGCAGCCUUGAGUAGAGGUGAGGUAUGCGGAAUGCGUGGUGUAGCGGUGAAAUGCUUAGAUAUCACGCAGAACUCCGAUUGCGAAGGCAGCAUACU